Molecule: ribosomal RNA, 375 nt
Filed under: Triticum aestivum (bread wheat)
Lineage: Eukaryota; Viridiplantae; Streptophyta; Magnoliopsida; Poales; Poaceae
Description: partial small subunit ribosomal RNA
Source: RNAcentral
AUGGCCGCGCCACUCGCGCGUGUGCCGCUGCUUCGUGCGCCCAGCCGGCCCUUCCCCACCUCCCGGAUCAACCCCCGCCGCCACUUCCGGCCGUCGGUGUCGGUCGCCGUAGGAGGCGUCAGCGGCCCCGUGCUCCGCACCUGCAAGAAUUGCAAGAAGCAGUACGACCCGGCUGCGAAUCACCCUUCAUCAUGCCGCUACCACACGGCCCACUUUGGAGGGGAAACAAAGAGAAAAUUUGAAAGUGUCCAUUCUGGUGGGACCAUGGAUACUCCGGGUGCAGGCAAAGUGCUCCAGUACUGGCAUUGUUGUGGGUCAGAGGAUCCAUUUGAUGUUGGUUGUACUGCUGCUCCUCACUCUUCAUACGAUGACUAA